GAUGAACGCUGGCGGCGUGCCUAAUACAUGCAAGUCGAGCGAACGGACGAGAAGCUUGCUUCUCUGAUGUUAGCGGCGGACGGGUGAGUAACACGUGGAUAACCUACCUAUAAGACUGGGAUAACUUCGGGAAACCGGAGCUAAUACCGGAUGAUAUUUUGAACCGCAUGGUUCAAAAGUGAAAGACGGUCUUGCUGUCACUUAUAGAUGGAUCCGCGCUGCAUUAGCUAGUUGGUAAGGUAACGGCUUACCAAGGCAACGAUGCAUAGCCGACCUGAGAGGGUGAUCGGCCACACUGGAACUGAGACACGGUCCAGACUCGUACGGGAGGCAGCAGUAGGGAAUCUUCCGCAAUGGGCGAAAGCCUGACGGAGCAACGCCGCGUGAGUGAUGAAGGUCUUCGGAUCGUAAAACUCUGUUAUUAGGGAAGAACAUAUGUGUAAGUAACUGUGCACAUCUUGACGGUACCUAAUCAGAAAGCCACGGCUAACUACGUG
RNAcentral lists this ribosomal RNA (497 nucleotides) under uncultured bacterium. Its description in RNAcentral is "partial 16S ribosomal RNA". It matches the Rfam family "Bacterial small subunit ribosomal RNA", at positions 28 to 507 of the family's 1533-position model. The record is from RNAcentral.